AGUGAACGCUGGCGGUAGGCCUAACACAUGCAAGUCGAACGGCAGCACAGUAAGAGCUUGCUCUUACGGGUGGCGAGUGGAGGACGGGUGAGGAAUACAUCGGAACCUACUUUUUCGUGGGGGAUAACGUAGGGAAACUUACGCUAAUACCGCAUACGACCUACGGGUGAAAGCAGGGGAUCUUCGGACCUUGCGCGAUUGAAUGAGCCGAUGUCGGAUUAGCUAGUUGGCGGGGUAAAGGCCCACCAAGGCGACGAUCCGUAGCUGGUCUGAGAGGAUGAUCAGCCACACUGGAACUGAGACACGGUCCAGACUCCUACGGGAGGCAGCAGUGGGGAAUAUUGGACAAUGGGCGCAAGCCUGAUCCAGCCAUACCGCGUGGGUGAAGAAGGCCUUCGGGUUGUAAAGCCCUUUUGUUGGGAAAGAAAAGCAGCAGGUUAAUACCCCGCUGUUCUGACGGUACCCAAAGAAUAAGCACCGGCUAACUUCGUG
RNAcentral lists this ribosomal RNA (492 nucleotides) under uncultured bacterium. Its description in RNAcentral is "partial 16S ribosomal RNA". It matches the Rfam family "Bacterial small subunit ribosomal RNA", at positions 29 to 507 of the family's 1533-position model. The record is from RNAcentral.